GACGAACGCUGGCGGCGUGCUUAACACAUGCAAGUCGAACGGAAAGGCCCUGCUUUUGUGGGGUGCUCGAGUGGCGAACGGGUGAGUAACGCGUGAGUAACCUGCCCUUGACUUUGGGAUAACUUCAGGAAACUGGGGCUAAUACCGGAUAGGAGCUCCUGCUGCAUGGUGGGGGUUGGAAAGUUUCGGCGGUUGGGGAUGGACUCGCGGCUUAUCAGCUUGUUGGUGGGGUAGUGGCUUACCAAGGCUUUGACGGGUAGCCGGCCUGAGAGGGUGACCGGCCACAUUGGGACUGAGAUACGGCCCAGACUCCUACGGGAGGCAGCAGUGGGGAAUAUUGCACAAUGGGCGGAAGCCUGAUGCAGCAACGCCGCGUGCGGGAUGACGGCCUUCGGGUUGUAAACCGCUUUCGCCUGUGACGAAGCGUGAGUGACGGUAAUGGGUAAAGAAGCACCGGCUAACUACGUGCCAGCAGCCGCGGUGAUACGUAGGGUGCGAGCGUUGUCCGGAUUUAUUGGGCGUGAAGGGCUCGUAGGUGGUUGAUCGCGUCGGAAGUGUAAUCUUGGGGCUUAACCCCUGAGCGUGCUUUCGAUACGGGUUGACUUGAGGAAGGUAGGGGAGAAUGGAAUUCCUGGUGGAGCGGUGGAAUGCGCAGAUAUCAGGAGGAACACCAGUGGCGAAGGCGGUUCUCUGGGCCUUUCCUGACGCUGAGGAGCGAAAGCGUGGGGAGCGAACAGGCUUAGAUACCCUGGUAGUCCACGCUGUAAACGGUGGGUACUAGGUGUGGGGUCCAUUCCACGGGUUCCGCGCCGUAGCUAACGCUUUAAGUACCCCGCCUGGGGAGUACGGCCGCAAGGCUAAAACUCAAAGGAAUUGACGGGGCCCCGCACAAGCGGCGGAGCAUGCGGAUUAAUUCGAUGCAACGCGUAGAACCUUACCUGGGUUUGACAUGGAUCGGGAGUGCUCAGAGAUGGGUGUGCCUCUUUUGGGGUCGGUUCACAGGUGGUGCAUGGCUGUCGUCAGCUCGUGUCGUGAGAUGUUGGGUUAAGUCCCGCAACGAGCGCAACCCUUGUUCACUGUUGCCAGCACGUUAUGGUGGGGACUCAGUGGAGACCGCCGGGGUCAACUCGGAGGAAGGUGGGGAUGACGUCAAGUCAUCAUGCCCCUUAUGUCCAGGGCUUCACGCAUGCUACAAUGGCUGGUACAGAGAGUGGCGAGCCUGUGAGGGUGAGCGAAUCUCGGAAAGCCGGUCUCAGUUCGGAUUGGGGUCUGCAACUCGACCUCAUGAAGUCGGAGUCGCUAGUAAUCGCAGAUCAGCAACGCUGCGGUGAAUACGUUCCCGGG
RNAcentral lists this ribosomal RNA (1344 nucleotides) under uncultured bacterium. RNAcentral describes it as "16S ribosomal RNA". It matches the Rfam family "Bacterial small subunit ribosomal RNA", at positions 28 to 1378 of the family's 1533-position model. The record is from RNAcentral.